This 116-nucleotide small nuclear RNA is filed under the name Operophtera brumata (winter moth). The record is from RNAcentral. Lineage: Eukaryota; Metazoa; Arthropoda; Insecta; Lepidoptera; Geometridae.
UUUUAUAAGCUUAAUAAUUGGUAAGUGAAAAAAAAACUGAGCAAAACUGGUAGCAGUAGCAUGCGUGGCCCCUGCGCAAGGAUGACACGCAAAAUCUUGAAGCGUUCCACAUUUUU